RNAcentral lists this non-coding RNA (83 nucleotides) under Paenibacillus sp. RNAcentral describes it as "c-di-GMP sequence". It matches the Rfam family "c-di-GMP-I riboswitch aptamer". Rfam says of the family: GEMM was predicted in a large-scale screen for bacterial structured RNA regulatory elements. The record is from RNAcentral. Lineage: Bacteria; Bacillati; Bacillota; Bacilli; Caryophanales; Paenibacillaceae.
AUACGAUAAAGGCAAACUUGCUGAAAGGCAAGGACGCAAAGCAAUGGACCUAAAGAUAUUUCUAUGGUCGCCAUGCCACCGAA